UUUCUCAUCUUUUCAUCUAUUUUUUUUAUUUCUUUUUCUUUGUAUUAUUUUUUUCAUUUUCUCCUUUCUCAUUCUUAUUUUAUCAUUUGUAUUCUCUUGAGACCUACAUGGGUUAAUAAAUAUAAACUUCUAAUUAUCCCAUUUAGCCUAUACAAUUCAUAGCAUCUCUUUUCAAUUAAAUAUAAUCUAUAUAUAGUUUCUCCCC
This 205-nucleotide long non-coding RNA is filed under the name Capsicum annuum. RNAcentral describes it as "long non-coding RNA (CANN_LNC012509)". Lineage: Eukaryota; Viridiplantae; Streptophyta; Magnoliopsida; Solanales; Solanaceae. The record is from RNAcentral.